This 184-nucleotide ribosomal RNA is filed under the name uncultured bacterium. RNAcentral describes it as "partial 16S ribosomal RNA". It matches the Rfam family "Bacterial small subunit ribosomal RNA", at positions 338 to 524 of the family's 1533-position model. The record is from RNAcentral.
CCUACGGGAGGCAGCAGUGAGGAAUAUUGCGCAAUGGGCGAAAGCCUGACGCAGCGACGCCGCGUGGGGGAUGAAGGUUUUCGGAUUGUAAACCCCUUUUGUGAGGAAAGAGAAGGUGGGUAACCACUUAGACGGUACCUCAAGAAAAAGCCACGGCUAACUUCGUGCCAGCAGCCGCGGUAAU